This 823-nucleotide ribosomal RNA is filed under the name Escherichia coli. RNAcentral's name for it is "partial 23S ribosomal RNA". It matches the Rfam family "Bacterial large subunit ribosomal RNA", at positions 428 to 1251 of the family's 2925-position model. The record is from RNAcentral. Lineage: Bacteria; Pseudomonadati; Pseudomonadota; Gammaproteobacteria; Enterobacterales; Enterobacteriaceae.
GGUAUCCUGUCUGAAUAUGGGGGGACCAUCCUCCAAGGCUAAAUACUCCUGACUGACCGAUAGUGAACCAGUACCGUGAGGGAAAGGCGAAAAGAACCCCGGCGAGGGGAGUGAAAAAGAACCUGAAACCGUGUACGUACAAGCAGUGGGAGCACGCUUAGGCGUGUGACUGCGUACCUUUUGUAUAAUGGGUCAGCGACUUAUAUUCUGUAGCAAGGUUAACCGAAUAGGGGAGCCGAAGGGAAACCGAGUCUUAACUGGGCGUUAAGUUGCAGGGUAUAGACCCGAAACCCGGUGAUCUAGCCAUGGGCAGGUUGAAGGUUGGGUAACACUAACUGGAGGACCGAACCGACUAAUGUUGAAAAAUUAGCGGAUGACUUGUGGCUGGGGGUGAAAGGCCAAUCAAACCGGGAGAUAGCUGGUUCUCCCCGAAAGCUAUUUAGGUAGCGCCUCGUGAAUUCAUCUCCGGGGGUAGAGCACUGUUUCGGCAAGGGGGUCAUCCCGACUUACCAACCCGAUGCAAACUGCGAAUACCGGAGAAUGUUAUCACGGGAGACACACGGCGGGUGCUAACGUCCGUCGUGAAGAGGGAAACAACCCAGACCGCCAGCUAAGGUCCCAAAGUCAUGGUUAAGUGGGAAACGAUGUGGGAAGGCCCAGACAGCCAGGAUGUUGGCUUAGAAGCAGCCAUCAUUUAAAGAAAGCGUAAUAGCUCACUGGUCGAGUCGGCCUGCGCGGAAGAUGUAACGGGGCUAAACCAUGCACCGAAGCUGCGGCAGCGACGCUGAUGCGUUGUUGGGUAGGGGAGCGUUCUGUAAGCCUG